AGGUGCAAUCAUACCAGCAUUAAUGCACCAGAUACCAUAAGAACUCCACAUUUAAGCGUGCUUGGGAGAGAGUAUUACUAGGAUGGGUGACCUCCUGCGAAGUCCUCGUGUUGCACCUA
Molecule: ribosomal RNA, 119 nt
Filed under: Cicer arietinum (chickpea)
Lineage: Eukaryota; Viridiplantae; Streptophyta; Magnoliopsida; Fabales; Fabaceae
Source: RNAcentral